UCAAGCCAUGGUGAGCAAGCCAGUAAGGAUCUCCCCUCCAUGACUUCUACUUUCAGGAUCCUGCCCGGUCCGAGUUCCUGCUCUGACUUCCUUCAGUGAUGAACAGCAAUGUGUGUCGUCACAUAUUUGGGCUUCCCUUAUUUCUAACAUCAUGAUCCAGAAGGGUAUACUCAUCCCAGUUGAUGCCAAAGACCCUUGGAUACCUGGUGACUCAUCAGCUUGAAGUUUGAACCCCAAUAUCAGUCUCUGGGUCUUUUAUUUAUUGUGCUGCAUACCCUGACUUUGGUGAUUGAAGAAAAGAGAUCUAAACACUGAAUCUUCUGAUUUAUAUGACAAAAGAUGAUUGGCACAUGGGCUAGCAGGCCACUAGGAAAAGCCCACUCUGAAUGUGCGUAUCAACGCCCAGAAGCAAGGAAAGAUUGAUUGACAUAAUCACACUCUAAGUAAUCCACAAUGGCUGUUUACAAGCUGCAGAGAUGGGCAUAACAGUAGCUUCUCAAUCUAUGAGGCUGGAAGCCUCAGAACAAGAGAGAUCAAUGAUAUAACCACAGUUGGUUGUAGACCGGACACCAGGUGGAGUCCUCCAGGUGGAGUCUUCAUGUCCUUCCUGAACAAGACAACAUCAAGGCCCCACAUGAUAGCCACUUAGAGACUUGUCCAGGGUUUGUCUGGGGCGUCCUAAUUCAUUAAGGGCAGGAUAAACAGAGGCAGGCCUCUGUCUGCCCACUUCAGAUAAAGUGGGACUUUCAGGAAUGGAGGCAUCAGGAAUUCCUGGGGUACACUUGAAACUAUCAAGCAAUGGGCUCUCAACCACAGAUGGGAAGAACUGAAGCUGUUUGUAUCCACUGCACCAUUAGUAGGCUGAAGUCACCUCUCUGCAUGGCAGAGAGAUUCAAUGGGACCAGUCUCCAUAGACUUGCAUGAUUUUUGUUUUGCUCUACAGACAGGAACAGACAUCUUCAAGAUCCUUCAAGCUCCCCACUAGCUUGGCUCUUGGGCAGCUAGAGCAAUGUAACCCCCAAGGGCUUAGAAAGAAAUCUUAAUCUUUUUGUCAACCAUGCAUGGCCCAAGUGCCUCCUAGGAGAUUGUGAAGAUGUGUUACAGGGAGAACUCUUAAUUAUAAUACCAUCCUCCAAUUGGAACUGCUCUAUGAAUGAGAAGGAACAUACUUGGAAGUUCCUCAUAUGCAACUUUUUCUUUUAACGUGAGACCACCCCCCAAACUUACGACUUCACAGAAACUUAGUGUGAGUAUACACUUGUAGGAAGUUACUCACCCCAAGACUAACCAGGGAGACUUCAUUUGUCACUGGUAAAGAAGAUACUUCUGUAAGUUUGAUCCUGCUCAAUCUUAAGUGCACACCACCACAUACCGAUGACCUUGUUCAAAGUACAUCCUGUUGAAAAAUUAGGUAUCCUGGAUCUGUCCCUGAUGCAUGAGCUGACUUUUUGGAGUCCAUUCCCUAUGGUGGGGUGCCUUGCUCAGCCCCUAUACAGGAGGAAGGGGCUUGGUCCUGCCUCACCUUGAUGUGCCAGACUUUGUUGACUUCCUAUGGGAGACCUUACCCUUUCUGAGGAGUGUAUGGGGGGUGUCA
Molecule: long non-coding RNA, 1594 nt
Organism: Mesocricetus auratus (golden hamster)
Lineage: Eukaryota; Metazoa; Chordata; Mammalia; Rodentia; Cricetidae
Exons: 5
Source: RefSeq, a predicted model, not a curated record